Long non-coding RNA from Neoarius graeffei (lesser salmon catfish), 2215 nucleotides. RefSeq lists it as uncharacterized. The transcript has 2 exons. The record is from RefSeq and is a predicted model, not a curated record. NCBI's taxonomy places the organism in Eukaryota, Metazoa, Chordata, Actinopteri, Siluriformes, Ariidae.
UCCAGUGGGUGGCGGUAAUGCCCCCAUUAGACCCCUUUCACUGACGUCACCCGAAACCGGAAGUAAACAAACCCUGUGCCAUAUUGGAAGACCAACAAACUCGUGAUUAGGGGGAAAUAACGGCAGCGCGCGGUAUGUGAACCCACGAGGCACUUCGUUCAUCAAAAACCUACGUGUUAGGGUUCUAACAAAACUGAUGGGAAAGGUGAAAAGAAGUCUUUCUACAGAAUACCAGCUGUGAUUGAGACACAAGGGGAGCAAACUAAGGAGCUUUCUGCCAGGAGGCAGAGAGAGUAUUUAGCUGCUUUAUGCAGAGCGGAUCUGAAUACUUCAAGUCUAUUUUGUUACUGUCUCUGUUCUCUCUCUCGGUCUCUCUAUUUCUGAGCUCUACACAGAUUCGACUGAGAAUCCUCAAGACGUUGUGAACAAAGAGGGGAAGAGAUCGUGCGCCCCGUUUGGAACCAAUCAUCCUCACUACAACCAUGACAGUCCUCAUCACGGGUUUCGUGACUUCAUUGUUGCUCUGGGCAGGGCUACCCGCCCGAGCCUUCGUGACUGCUUCAUCUUUGCUCGGGGCAGGGCUACCCGCCCGAGCCUUCUGGACCACUUCAUUGCUCGGAGCAGGGUUACCCGCUCGAGCUGGACAACAUCUUCUGGCAAUUUGCUAACUGGACUGCACGAGCGCACACCACACGAAUGUGUUAUGUCUUUCAUCUGAUGCCGUUUUCUACUAUUAUUACACUUCUCUAUGCUCUGAAACUCUGUAUUCUUACAGGACUCUUUUUCACUAUAGGUCGAUAUGCCUUCUAAUUUCAUUUUCCCUCACUGUUUUAGAACAAAUUACUCUGAAGGAAGUAGCAUGUAUUUGGGACGAAUUAAGAGGUUUUGAGUUUCUCUAAGCUCCGGUGAGGUGGGACGAGGGCUGAUUGGGCAUGCACCAAUAUACGUCACCAAUAUACGUCAAGAAGGGCAAAGAUUAACUCAAGAUUAAUUCUCGAUGUAAUCACAUAUAUGAUCAUGAGGUGAUAAUGAUCAUAUAUGAUCCUAGGAUUUGAUAAUAGUGAUACUAUUAUCAAAGGGGGGGAUUGUUAGGUUUUAUUAUUAUGUAGGUUUAUAAAUAAUUGUAAUUCUUGACCAAGAAGGCAGUAAUUUAUUUGUGACAAAAUUAAGGAUUAAUGUCUGUUCAGUUAAAAUAACCUUAGGUCUCGGCUGGACAUUGUUUGGGAACAUUUUGUUUAUUUUGAUAUGAAAUGUGUAUUUUUGAUCAGAGAUGUGUCUGAACGGCGCCAAGGUCUGCAAUGACGCCACACACACCCACAGCUGCAUAUCCAACGUGUAUUUGGGAUUAAAGUUAAAUUUAAAGUCAUAAUUCAUGUUAGUUUUAUAGUUUUGUAUUAGCCUUAUUGCUGCACAAAGUGUUAAGACUGUAUAUGGGAGAGCUUUUUAAGAUCCUUUAUUAUUUUGGACUAUUGCAUAUACUAUGGCAGUGAUUUAGAUUUAAUUGUUAGAUCUAAGAUGCAUUCAGUGAUUUAAGUUAGUUUUAUAGUUUUAAGUUAGUUUUAUAAUUACAGAAUAUAAUUUAGGAUUGUUAAGACUUUAUGAUUCUAAUGGUAAGACUUUGAGUUUAAUCCUGAAUCCUGUUUGACCUUCCUGAUGUAGCACUUCUUUGUUUAUGUUUCGUAUGACUGUCUUUGUUUAGGUUUGUUCUUAUUUUUUUGUUUACUUUCUUAUAACAUAUCUGUGUUUAAAAAUUCCAUCACCAUCUUAAGUACAUAUUGCCCUAUGUUAUAUCUGACCUGAAGGGGUGUACAUAAGCGAUGACCUUUAAAAUCUGUCUGUACCUUGCUAUCAUGUCAUAUCAUCAGAAAUAUGUCAUUAUGUUAUGAUUUACACACACACACUGAUGGAGAUUAUUUGACCUGCCCCAAGAUCAAGCUGCUCACUGGCACGCAAGUCAAACACACACACACAUACAUCUAAACAUUCCAUUAGAACAGUGAUGUAAUUAAGAUGUGACACACACACACACACAAAUAGACACAGAUAUCAAAAUGAUGUCACUCACUCACAGCCCCCCAUAGACACACACAUUCAUGCACACAUACACAUAGAUAUCAAACAGUGAUGUCAUUUACACACAGAUAACACUCGUAUAUAAUAACCCUCUGUAUUCUUGUCCAAUUGGGGGAACUUGCGAAUAAAGAUGUGAACUACA